GAUGAACGCUGGCGGCGUGCUUUACACAUGCAAGUCGAACGAGAAAUGUAGACGGAAACCUUCGGGCGGAAGCCUUCAUUUCGAGUGGCGGACGGGUGAGUAACGCGUGGGUAACCUGCCUCAUACAGGGGGAUAACAGUUGGAAACGACUGUUAAUACCGCAUAAGACCACAGCAUCGCAUGAUGCGGGGGUAAAAACUCCGGUGGUAUGAGAUGGACCCGCGUUCGAUUAGCCAGUUGGCGGGGUAACGGCCCACCAAAGCGACGAUCGAUAGCCGAUCUGAGAGGAUGACCGGACACAGUGGGAGUGAGACACGGCCGAAAAUAAUACGGGAGGCAGCAGUGGGGAAUAUUGAACAAUGGGGGAAACACUGAUGCAGCGACGCCGCGUGAGUGAAGAAGUACGUAGGUAUGUAAAGCUCUAUCAGCAGGGAAGAAAAUGACGGUACCUGAGUAAGAAGCCCCGGCUAACUACGUG
RNAcentral lists this ribosomal RNA (478 nucleotides) under uncultured bacterium. RNAcentral's name for it is "partial 16S ribosomal RNA". It matches the Rfam family "Bacterial small subunit ribosomal RNA", at positions 28 to 507 of the family's 1533-position model. The record is from RNAcentral.